RNAcentral lists this ribosomal RNA (433 nucleotides) under uncultured bacterium. RNAcentral's name for it is "partial 16S ribosomal RNA". It matches the Rfam family "Bacterial small subunit ribosomal RNA", at positions 29 to 507 of the family's 1533-position model. The record is from RNAcentral.
AACGAACGCUGGCGGCAUGCCUAACACAUGCAAGUCGAACGAGACCUUCGGGUAUAGUGGCGCACGGGUGCGUAACGCGUGGGAACCUGCCCUUAGGUUCGGAAUAACUCCCCGCAAGGGGUGCUAAUACCGGAUAAUGUCUUCGGACCAAAGAUUUAUCGCCUUUGGAUGGGCCCGCGUUGGAUUAGCUAGUUGGUAGGGUAAAAGCCUACCAAGGCGACGAUCCAUAGCUGGUCUGAGAGGAUGAUCAGCCACACUGGGACUGAGACACGGCCCAGACUCCUACGGGAGGCAGCAGUGGGGAAUAUUGGACAAUGGGCGAGAGCCUGAUCCAGCAAUGCCGCGUGAGUGAUGAAGGCCUUAGGGUUGUAAAGCUCUUUUACCCGGGAUGAUAAUGACAGUACCGGGAGAAUAAGCUCCGGCUAACUCCGUG